RNAcentral lists this non-coding RNA (29 nucleotides) under Mus musculus (house mouse). Lineage: Eukaryota; Metazoa; Chordata; Mammalia; Rodentia; Muridae. The record is from RNAcentral.
UGGUAUGAUCAUUGAGUAGACGAAGAACU